GACGAACGCUGGCGGCGUGCCUAAUACAUGCAAGUCGAACGAAGCUGUUUUAACUGGUGCUUGCACCGACUUAAACAACUGAGUGGCGAACGGGUGAGUAACACGUGGGUAACCUGCCCCAAAGCGGGGGAUAACUUUUGGAAACAGAUGCUAAUACCGCAUAACCACAGAAACCACAUGGUUUCUGUGUCAAAGAUGGUUUCGGCUAUCACUUUGGGAUGGACCCGCGGCGUAUUAGCUAGUUGGUAAGGUAAUGGCUUACCAAGGCAAUGAUACGUAGCCGAACUGAGAGGUUGAUCGGCCACAUUGGGACUGAGACACGGCCCAAACUCCUACGGGAGGCAGCAGUAGGGAAUCUUCCACAAUGGACGAAAGUCUGAUGGAGCAACGCCGCGUGAGUGAAGAAGGUUUUCGGAUCGUAAAACUCUGUUGUCAGAGAAGAACGUGUGCGAGAGUAACUGUUCGUGCAGUGACGGUAUCUGGCCAGAAAGUCACGGCUAACUACGUGCCAGCCGCCGCAGUAA
This 524-nucleotide ribosomal RNA is filed under the name uncultured bacterium. RNAcentral's name for it is "partial 16S ribosomal RNA". It matches the Rfam family "Bacterial small subunit ribosomal RNA", at positions 28 to 523 of the family's 1533-position model. The record is from RNAcentral.